This is a long non-coding RNA of Eriocheir sinensis (Chinese mitten crab), 339 nucleotides long. RefSeq lists it as uncharacterized. The transcript has 3 exons. NCBI's taxonomy places the organism in Eukaryota, Metazoa, Arthropoda, Malacostraca, Decapoda, Varunidae. The record is from RefSeq and is a predicted model, not a curated record.
GUGAGGUGAGGUGAGGUGAGGUUAGACUUGGUUAGGUUAGGGUAGGUUAAGUUAGGUUAGGGUAGGUUAAGUUAGGUUGCAUUUUGGUUAGGGUAGGUUAAGUUAGGUUAUAUUUUGGUUAGGGAAGGUUAAGUUAGGUUAUAUUUUGGUUAGGGUAGGUUAAGUUAGGUUAUAUUUUGGUUAGGGAAGGUUAAGUUAGGUUGCAUUUUGGUUAGGGUAGGUUAAGUUAGGUUGCAUUUUGGUUAGGGUAGGUUAAGUUAGGUUGCAUUUUGGUUAGGGAAGGUUAAGUUAGGUUGCAUUUUGGUUAGGGUAGGUUAAGUUAGGUUAUAUUUUGGUUAG